GGAUUGAACAGGAAUGGGAUUGUUCUUUUGUUGGUUGAAUUCUAUCCACAAGUUUGGUUGGUGUGAAAUCAUUUGAAAAUGUUAGGAGAAAAAAAAAAAAAAAAAAAAAAAAAAAUUUUUUUUUUUUUUUUUUUUUUUUAAAAAAAAAAAAAAAAAAAAAAAUUUCCUGAUGUCGUGCAUGGUCCUUUGUGCUUUAUGUGUGGCUUGGGGUUUGGGACGGAAUCAAACUAACACCGUCAAUUGUUAUUGGCCACUGCAAAGGGGAAACUUGUCGCUCAGUGUCAAAGUGGUUUUCU
RNAcentral lists this unclassified non-coding RNA (296 nucleotides) under Hevea brasiliensis (rubber tree). The record is from RNAcentral. Lineage: Eukaryota; Viridiplantae; Streptophyta; Magnoliopsida; Malpighiales; Euphorbiaceae.